RNAcentral lists this long non-coding RNA (4715 nucleotides) under Dasypus novemcinctus (nine-banded armadillo). Its description in RNAcentral is "lncRNA (ENSDNOG00000052138.1)". The stretch from base 4076 to 4133 matches the Rfam family "tRNA", at positions 8 to 63 of the family's 71-position model. Lineage: Eukaryota; Metazoa; Chordata; Mammalia; Cingulata; Dasypodidae. The record is from RNAcentral.
AUGCGGCUGCUGGUACCGGCGGCAGCCUCAGGGGUGGUGAUCCAAAACAGCCCUCAAAGGCGCCCUCCUAGAGGCUGGCGCUCGGAACCAUCACUCAUUUCUAAUCGGGACACACUGAUAAGCCAAAGGAAAGUCCAGCUUGCAACAUGCAUCCAGGGCCGUGCUCCCUCCUGUCCCGUUUCUUCAAGCCCCAAGGCUGGCUCCUCUGCCGAGCACAAACCCUGCAGGUGGAACUCAGGCACCCUGGGCCCUUCUGGACCUGCAUGGGACAUCUCUCGGGGGCCGGUGAGUUCAGACACCCCUGCUGUGCACGGAUCACAUGUGGAACCACCAGGGAGACGUUCCCACGGCGAAGGAGCUGCGCCGGGCCGGCUGCGUGAACAGUCCUGCGCUGCCAGGGCCUCCCUGUGUCCCCGCCAACGUGGGAAUCUGCAAGACCGAAUGUGAGUGAUGCAUCCGGCACCGAGGCCCUUGCUCUUAGGGACCCUCGUUAGACCUGGGAACUUGGGCUUCCGCUGAGUUUGGGAGCCACUCUUUGGAUAACUGUGGCUCUGUCUUCCAUGAGCCUUGACCACGACAUCCCAACAGUGUCUGCAUUUCGGCAGCUAGCAAACUAAGGCGGCCUCACGCCCUUUCCACCAGCCCCUGGCCUUCUCUAGUUUUAGAGACAGGACGCUUUACUCUUACGUUAUCGUGCUUUCUUCCAAAUUCACCUUUGUCAUGUUCCUUGCUGAGUCCCAUUGGGCCUAAACUUGUAGAAACUCAAAAGCCAGAAAAAGAUUCCUUUUUCUCUAAUCUAAAACUGUCCCCAUAGGCUAUGAAGAUGAGCACAUCCUAGUCUGGCUGAUGACAUGGGAAUGGGGGUGGGGGGGUGCAGUGAGUACAGGAAACUAUGGUAAGACAAAACUCAGUUCAUAUUUGAAAAUCUUAACCUGCCUCAUAGAGACAGGACAAGUAAGAUGCAAAGGGAUGAGAUGUUGUUUUAGGCUGCCAAAAGCAAUAUACCAGAAAUGGAAUGCCUUUUAAUAAUGGAAUUUAUUAGUUUACAAGCUUACAUUUUCAAGGCUGAGAAAAAUGUCCAAAUCAAGGCAUCAUCAGGCGAUGUUUUCUUCCCAAAGACCAGCUACCAGAGAUCCUGGAUGCCUCUGUCACAUGGCAAGGCACAUGGCAGCAUCUGCUGGCCUCGCCCUUUCCUUCCAGGUUUCGUGGCUUCCAGGGUGCUCUCCUCUUCUCUCUCUUUCAUCCCAUCUAUAAAGGACUUCAGAAAGAGGAUUAAGACCCACCCAGGGCCAGGCCUUACCUGAAGUCGCCUCAUCAAAAGGUUCAACCUAUAAUAGGCUUACACUUGCAGGAAUGGAUUAGCUGUAAGAACAUAAUUUCCUGGGGAGUACAUACAGCUUCAAACCAUUACACUCCACCCUCUGGACCCAAAAAAAGAAAACGACUUGUUUUUUUUCCAUCUGGAAAAUACAUUCAUUCCAUCACAGUAUCAUAAAAGUCUUAAACCAUUUCUGUAACAAUAUUAAGUAAAAGUUUCACCAAAAUCAGUUAUGGGUGUGGCCUAUCCUGGGGCACGAUUCCCUUCCAGCUGUGGGCCUAUGAAACCUAGUGAGCAAGCUCUCUUCUUCCAAUAUACAAAGAGGGACAGUCAUAGGAUCAGCAUUCCCAUUCCCAUAGGAAGAAACUGGAAGGAAAACAGGGGCUGUGGGUCCCAAACAGUUCCAAACCCUACAGAGCACAGCCCAUUAGGUUCCACGGUCUGAGACUCAUCCUUGGACCGAGGCUCUCCCCUCAAGGCCUGAUGGAGUGGCAGCGGUGCCCUAUCCAAGGGCUUGUGCAGCAGACACGCCUCCCCAAACACGAGCGUCAAGAUGCCUGCAUCUCCAGGUUUGGGGCAGUGUCCAGCCUCUCUGCAACCCCCCAGGCAGCUGAGAAACCUGGGGUGGCAGCUCUCUUCCUGAACAAUGGGCCAAGGUCCACCCUCUCCAAGCCCAGGGCAGGCUCACCCUUUCCACCAGGGCGGUCUCUCUCUUGGCCCGAGAUGUCUGCAGUCCAGACCUCAGCUCCCAUGGUUCUGCCCUUGACAUGACUUUUCCCUCAAUCUGUCCCUUUUCUGUCCCUUUUAGUCCAGGUUGGCAGUGGUUCCAUUCACACAGAUCUUAUAAGAAAAACUUGUCGGUUUCACACAUACUACACAGGGGUCCAAACCAUCAGGCAGGUGGACUUUCCCCAGCCUUUCCUGGAUAACUGCACCUCCAGUCCUGACUAGCUCUGAAAUGGCUGCCUGGGUCCCUGUUCCGUGAAGCUCUCGUGUGGAGCACUAUUCUCUGGGGACUCAUUUUCUGGAAGCUCAGUAUUUUCCAACCCAUCAGUUUCUGGUUUCUUUGUGCCCAGGAAUUCAGUUCUCAGUUGAUCCCUUUCCUGUCACAUUUUAUAUUCGCUGCAAGGAGAAACCAGGCAGCACUUUCCAUAUUUAGUUUGGAAAUCUCCUCAGCUCAAUAUCCAAGCUCAUCACUUUCAAAUUCAGUCUUCCAUCAGAUAUCAGGACACAAUUUUGCCAAGAUCUCUGCCACUUUAAUACAAGGGUCGCCUUUCUUCCAGUUUGCAGUGACACAUUCAUCAUUUCUGUCUAAGGCCUCAACAGAAGCACCUUUAGCUUCCACAUUUCUGCCAACAGGCUCUUCAGAGCAAUUGAGGGCUUCUCUGUCAAGCACCUCACAAUUCUUCCAGAAGCCACCCCUUACCCAUUUAUAGAGCUGUUCCACAUUUUUGGUAUUUGCAAUAGCAGUGCACCACUUUCCUGGUACCAAAAUCUCUUUUAGUUUGCUAGAUUACCAAAAUGCAGAUAGUGUGAAAUGGAUUGGCUUCUAACAGUGGGAAUUUAUUAAUUUACAAGCUUACAGGUUUGAGGCUGAGAAAAAUGUCCAAAUCAAGGCAUCAUUAGGUGAUGUUUUCUUCCUGAAGACCAGGUGCUGGUGAUCCUGGACAUUUCUCUCACAUGACAGGGCACAUGGCAGUGUCUGCUGGUCUCGUCCUUCUCUUCCAGGUUUCACCAACCUCUUCCUUCUGUGGCUUCCUCUCUCUCCCUCCCUCUCCCCCCUCUCUCUCUCCCUCUCCCUUUCUCUCUCUCCUUCUCUCUCUCCCUCUCUCCCUCUCUUUCCCUCUCCUUUUCUCUCUCUCCCUCUCUUUCUCUCUCUUUCCCCCCCCUCUCCUUCUCUCUCUCCCUCCCUUCCUCUCUCCCUUUCCCUCCCGCCCCUCCCUCUCUCUCUCUCUCCAUUCCAUUUAUAAAGGACUCCAGUUAGAGGAUUAAGAUCCACCCUGGGUCACAUCUUAUAUGUCAGCUCAGACCCACAGGAAUGGAUUAGCUCUAAGAACAUAUUUUUCUGGGGUACAUACAGCUUCAAACCAUCACAGAUGCUGACAGGUGUAUCCUGCUCCAACAAGUGCUGGCCCAGAAAGCAACCCUAGUCCACAGGAUGGUGUAUUCUCUUCCCCACCCUGAGGUGUCUGUCAGUGGGAGAGCUCCUGCCACUCCUCCCGCAGCAUCAGUGGGGAUGGGUAGGGACCCCCUGGCAUCAGAUAAACCAAGUAGGACAAAUUGCAGGGCAAAGGCUCUGAAAAUUAAAUUAAAGGAGUGGGUGGAAUUUCUGGCCUUCCCACAGGGCUCUAGAUAUCACGGAACAGGGAUAAGCUUUCCCUGAUCUGCUUUUUCUGAGUCCUGACCAACAGAAUCGGGAGCGUAGUAAAAUAAUUGCUGCUUUAUGCCACUAAGCCUGGGAUGGUUUUGUUACACAGCAAUAGCAACUGGGACAAAUACGGGCUGGUUGCUUUGCUUAUUUGAUGCUAUUUAAGUGUUUGUACUUUUGCCACAUAUAUAUCGAUACUGUAAGUUAUGCUGUUUGGCCUGUUUUAAAAUCUUCUCUUUUUGGUACUAUGUCAUACUGCGCAUAGGAUUUUUCAGUUAGUGUUAUUCAUUUAACAUGUUUCUAAGAUUAUGUUUAUACAUGUGACUCUAAAUUGCUAACUUUAUCCACAGCUUUGUGUAAAGAUUGCACAAUUUAUGGGAAACGGACUUUGGCCCAGUGGUUAGGGCGUCCGUCUACCACAUGGGAGGUCCGCGGUUCAAACCCCGGGCCUCCUUGACCCGUGUGGAGCUGGCCCAUGUGCAGCGCUGAUGCGCGCAAGGAGUGCCAUGCCACGCAAGGGUGUCCCCCGCGUGGGGGAGCCCCACGCGCAAGGAGUGCGCCCGUGAGGAGAGCCGCCCAGCGUGAAAAGAAAGAGCAGCCUGCCCAGGAAUGGCGCCGCCCACACUUCCCGUGCCGCUGACGACAACAGAAGCGGACAAAGAAACAAGACGCAGCAAAUAGACACCAAGAACAGACAACCAGGGGAGGGGGGGAAAUUAAAAAUAAAUAAAUAAAUCUUUAAAAAAAAAAAAAAAAAAAAAGAUUGCACAAUUUAUCAAUUCUUUCACUGAGGAACAUUUAAAUUAUUUCCAUUUUUUCCCUUCUGCAAACCUAAACUCUCCUGUGAAUGUCCACUUGUGCACCACGGUAAGGGUUUUGCAGGGCAUACACCUUCAAGUAGAAUUGCAAGAAUUUUAAGAUGCAAGCUAUCGAAACCUUCAACUUUACUACUUACUGCAGGAUUGCUCAACAAAGUGGUUGCAACAAUUUACAUUUAUCCCAGUGAUGAUUAAGAGCUACCAACCCCCC